AUCAUUCUGAAUUUCUUUUCAGGUAGUUUGCCUAUUUCUUCUUCAUUUAUUUGGACUUCUGUUAAGAUCAAACUAACUAAAGCACAAACUAAGAAACGAAACUAAAGCAAUGUGCCGUGUGGGGAGUAAAGCAAUGAAAACAAAACUAAUAAACAUGUUGAGAGGAAAGGAAAUAAAGAAAAGAAAGAAUAGAUAUGCAAAGUUAAAUAAAGAUAAUACAAGAAGACCCGAUGCAUCCUCCCUGGAUGAGCAACAUAUUACGUGUAUUUUGUGCAAUUAGUGGUACGUCAAGUGACCGAAGCUAUGGUUCCCCAAGAUACACUGUUGAAAUAUGAGGACAUGCAGAUGUCAAGUGACAACAAGACUGAACUUCUCAGGAAUAUUUGGAGCUGUGCAAAUGUUUAAAAUUUAAAGAUUUGUUAUACACAGAGUGUUUCUUCCUGACACCAAAACUUUCAUGCUUUCAUACAGGGUGCUUACAUAUUUGUAAAUAUUUAAGCAACUUGAAAGUGCCUGGAAAAUUGCACCACUGUGCUUAGUUUGUACUUUUUAAGGUAGAUCUACAUACCGAGGAAUAGAGCUCAAAAACUUUCAUUUGAUUUGCUUAAUUGUUACUUAAAAUAUUAAUGGCACUGUGUAAAAUGGUAUAAUGGCAGUCAAUAAAAGUAAAACUUCUUUGUACUUAGAAGUGAAGGAAAUAAUACUUUGAACUUAGCAUUUUUCUUGACAGGAAGCUAAAUUCAUUAUUAUACUAGUCCUCGGAGGAAAAAACAAUGAAAAAUUUUUCAUGAAACAUGGAUACUUCCAACUGAGAUCAUUUGAAACCUUGCCUACCAAUGGUCUAGACUGAGCUAAAGGAAACAAAACCAUUAUGUAAACAAGGAAAUUUUCACAAAGAAAGGACAAAUAUAUAGAAAUACCAGGCUUCCCAAUCCUUCAAGUUUUGAUCCAAUUAUGCUAGGUAUUCCAGUCAGUGGUCUCUAACAUACUAGGCAAGGGAUUCCUUUCUGGCCUUUGUUUGCCUAGCAAGCAGCAUUUGUUGCCGAAGCUUCAUCAGUUGAGGCUGUCCAUAAAGCUAAACAAAUAUCUCUGAGAUUUGCAGUUACUUCAAAGUUUUAGCAGCAGAAUCUGAGGGUAGGUAUUUUGUAAUGAUGAUUUCUUCAGUUUACAAGGUUAGUAAGUAUUUUGAUAGAACUUGAUGAUCACAGCAUUCCUUGGGUCAGUAUACAACACGUAUUUAGCAGUUUCUGGCUAAGGAUUACAUCUCUAACUAUGAAGAAACUAAAGAUUAACUAAAUAAUUCAGGAGAAACCAAGAUGUGAAGGACAUGUUUACCUUGAACUAUCCAUAAAAUUUUGGCUGCCUUUCUUAUAAACAUUAAGUCCUAGAUUUAUUGUUCAUAUGUAGUUUAGCCUAUUUUAUUGACAAAAAAGGAAAAAAACAGACACUGAAAUAUAAGUGGAUUGCAUGGAGCUUUGGCUUUUUUAAUACUCUGUGAUUAAGUAAAUCUUAGAGCUUAUUAUGCACCUGGCUUGGCCAUUUUUCUUUACAUGUCAUUUGUAAGCUUUCAGGGGAACAUUAAAUUACUUAUGAAAGGUUAAUUUUGUAUUUUAAUAAGGGAUUCAGAAAUUCCAGAGGCAGUUGGUAAUUCCUUAAUAUCUUGGAGUAACGUGAAAAGUUACUUUCACCUUUAAAACUAUUAUAUUUGGCACAUAUGUGUAAAAAAUCAUCACCCAGAGUGAUGCCUUCUGAGAAUGAGGCGUCUUAGGGAAACGUCAGUGCUCUUUUGUCAAUGACCAGUCCCUAUCUUAUCCCCCAGUAUGGCAUUGUGCCCUGUGGGUCAUUUU
Capra hircus (goat) is the source of this 1847-nucleotide long non-coding RNA. RefSeq lists it as uncharacterized. NCBI's taxonomy places the organism in Eukaryota, Metazoa, Chordata, Mammalia, Artiodactyla, Bovidae. The transcript has 2 exons. The record is from RefSeq and is a predicted model, not a curated record.